UAGGGAAGCACAUCAUCUCUUGAAGCUUCACUUCAACUUCACUACUUCUGUAGUCUCAUCUUGGGUAAAAGAGAACCCAGCCAACUAUGAAGUUCCUUGUGUUCGCCUUCAUCUUGGCUGUCAUGGUUUCCAUGAUUGGAGCUGAUUCAUCUGAAGAGAAAUUUCUUCGUAGAUUGAGAAGAUUCGAUGAAGGGAGGUAUGGCCCUUAUCAGCCAUUUGUACCACCACCACUAUACCCACAACCAUACCAACCAUACCAACCACAAUACUAACAAUAUCCCUGUUAAUAUCAUCAGUGACUGCAGGACGUGAUUACUGAGGUUUGAUUGGCAAAUACAACUUCUACAUGCAUAUUCUCAUCCUUCAUACCAUAUCACACUACCACCACUUUUUGAAGAAUCAUCAAAAAACAAUGCAAAUGAAAAACAGACUAUAAUUUACUGUGUACUCUUUGUUUCAAGAUACUUGCCUUUUUAAUUAUCAUUUGGUGAUGUAAUUGCAAUUUAAACUGUUAAGCUGUUUUCAGUGCUGUUUCUGAAUAAUAGAAAUCACUUCUUCUCUAAAAGCAAUAAAUUUCAAGCACAUUCUUA
Molecule: long non-coding RNA, 590 nt
Organism: Macaca mulatta (Rhesus monkey)
Lineage: Eukaryota; Metazoa; Chordata; Mammalia; Primates; Cercopithecidae
Source: RefSeq, a predicted model, not a curated record